GUUUUAUGACUUUUAUUAGUGUAUAAGCUUAAUACUGCUUAUAUGUUGUUCAAAUUCAGCCAGAAGUCCGUGUAAAUUCCCUUUAAAUACUCUACAUUUAUGAAGAUGGAAUUUACCAAACAAUAUUAAAACGUUGAUAAUGUA
Long non-coding RNA from Thalassophryne amazonica, 144 nucleotides. RefSeq lists it as uncharacterized. The transcript is spliced from 3 exons. The record is from RefSeq and is a predicted model, not a curated record. NCBI's taxonomy places the organism in Eukaryota, Metazoa, Chordata, Actinopteri, Batrachoidiformes, Batrachoididae.